UAAUACUAAUUAACAUUAUUUAAAUUCCAGAAUUUUGAAAUACAAAUAGUAAAAGCCACAUUUUAAAACUUGAAUUCACAAAAAUAAAAUUACAUUCAAAUUCAUAAAACUAUCUAAUACCAAAUAGCACCAUACACUAAAAAUUUCAAUCACUUGAAACUUCCAACAAAUAGCAUCAUCAAAAUUCAUCGUAUAACAUAUCUCAUAAAUCCUUUACAAUAUCCAACCAUCAGCUUAUCACUAGAAAAACAAUUAAUCCAUAAAAAAACACUGAUAUUAAAUUCCCGAAAGCCACCAACAUCACCUGAAAAAUAGAUUAACCAAAAAAAUACAGAUUAACAUGUUGACCAAAUACAAUUAAUCAAAUUCACAAUAAAGUUCACCAGUGUGUAAUUGAUUUAAUCAGCUUUGAUACCAAAGGAAAAAUGAGGAUAAAUAGCCCCAGAGGAAAAACAAUCACAUUUGACAAUUGACAUAAUGAAGCAGUAAGCCUCACGAGUUGUAAAAGAGAAAUAGGUAAGGGAAAAUAAGGGACAUCUUCAAUGCAUGUAGUUUAUAUUAACUUUUUUUUUGUUCCUAAAGAUGUAUUAAGAGGAAAAAGGAUAUUCAUUCAAUGCCUGCAUCUCCUAUUUGUUAAUCUAAUUAUUCUCCUAUUCCUAUUGGUUAAUAAGGGAGUCAAUAAGAUUUUAAUCUAACAAUAUAGCAGUGACAAUUAACUAGGUCUUCAUUAAGAGUUGUUGAAUUAGAAAAGAUUUAAGUAUAAACAAACUAUUGUGCAACAGAAUACGUACUGAAGAGAAAUAUCGAACCAAGUGCAAUGCCAAAUACAAGAAAAGAGAAUUUUUAAUCUAGCCUUCUAUAGAUUUCAAUUCUGAAUUUCUUUAUGCACCAAAUUGAGUAUAUUUCAAAGACUACAAAUUAAUUAAUGCAAAACAUCUAAAAACAUAACAACUUUCCAUACAUAAUUAAACAAAAUCCACCAAAAUCAAACUAAUAAAAAGAAAGGUAAAAGUUCUAAAAACCCAAAAGAGGAAAUAUCAGAAAAUUCUGGAAUCACCAGAAUCUCCCCAUUCUAUCAACCUUAAUUCCAUGCUUGUAGGCUUGUGAACACUGACCCUAUCCAACUCAAAGAAAGAAGAUGCAGGCUAGUAUUCUCAUCUGGAUUACAUCACAUUAGCAUUUGAGAUAUUUUUACUUUAAUGUUUCAAAGAGAAGAAUUUUUGUUAAAGCAAGAUUUUCAACGAAUAUGUUAAAAGGAAUGCUCAUUGUCUAAGGAUUUAAAAGGAUGCCGAGAACAAGUUUGUUUACAAUAUAUUUUUUAUUUAUUUUUCUUGUUAAACUACGAUAAACUGAAAAAUACAAGUAUAUCUUGAUUUUAAAAAUCAACCAAGACAAGAAAAUAGAAUGAACAACUAUUCUUAUAGGCAAUGAAUGGAAAACCUCUAAAUGUAGUCAUUGGUUUAGUAAGGACAGUUGGAACCAUAAACAGUGGAUAAGUUUCUAAUGAAAAUAAUAAAAUCCAUCAUCUAUAUAAGUUGAGAAAAAAUAAAUUUCAUGUCAAAGAUCUAAAAAAUUUGAAGGAAACCUUAUAGUAAACAAAUAUUCAAUCCAUAAUAGUAUGAAUAAUAAAAACAUUAUUGUCAACUUGAAACGUAAAGUUGCUUUGUGUUUUUGUCAGUCAGUCCUAUUGUUUUUAGCAAAACAACAAACCUUAGCAUUUUAAUUAGUAACAAAUCAGAACCAACAUAAAAAUAAAAUUAGAAAAGAUAUAGAGAUGUAUUCUACCAUUUUGCAAUGCUGGUAUCGUCACCGUCUAUUCAAUAAAGAUCAAUGACCCCCUUAGACAGGACAUAACUCAAGUGAUAGGAAAAAGAAAAUUAAAUAGUUGUCAUGAGCUAUCUUAAACUUAUGCAAUCAAAUAUUUCAAAGACGAUGCUAAAACAAACCAAUGUAAAAACAUUAUUACCUUGAACCAUUAUCACCAAAGUUGUGAAGCCAAACCACAGUGGCUUGCUGUCUACCUUUGCCUGACUACAUAGGUCCUUCUGAACUGAUCUAGUGUUUUUCUAACAGUUUUAACCCCUGAAAAAAAGUCAUCACAAAAUUCAAUAAUCAAAAUUAAUGAUGAAGAAUUUCACAUACGUAACAAAAACCCAUAAUUACUAACAAAAGAAUUUCAUAAUGUAAGUUUUUUUAAUAAACCUCAACAAAGCUUUGUCAAGAGAAAACAUAAAUUAAAAAAAUGCUAGAGUAUAAAAUAAACAGGGGAGAAUAGAACAGCUAAGCCCCUUUACAGCAAGUAUCGAAAUGAACUAAAUAACAACGGCACAUGUUAGCUAUAACGAUAAUAGAGGUUCUUUAAAGUUUUUUUUUUUUUUUUAAGAAAGUCACGAGUCUUAGGAGGGUCAGUAGUUCUUAGAGAAGAGCCCAAGUUUUCCAAAGUUACUGUACUAAAUACACAACAGGCUGAAUCAAAUUUUAUUGGAAGAAUUAUUGUACAAAACCAUUGCAAUUAACCCCAAAUUACAACCAACCAAGCCCUAGUAAUUUAAUUGAGAGUUAAUUUCCCUUUAUUAUUACUCAAUAUAUGAAAAAUCCAAUUGAGGAACAAAAGAAUAGAGAAGAAUGAAAUUUAUUUACCUUCAUCAACCGGAGCGAUAGUGAGGGUUUCUUAAAAAACGAUCGGCGAGUUUGAAGGAUUACUCAAUAGCAAAGGAUUUAGGGUUUGGAGGAGAACAUCAACUUCUACAUGGCAAAUAUCAACGAUUUCGAAGGAUUAAGGGUGUAUUUUCGUCUUCUUUAUUAGUGAGGGAAGAGCCUCAAAUUUUGACUUAGGGUUUUUAUUUUGGAUUUCUCACUUGCAGCGAGGAAUCUGAUUUAUUAAAGUUGUGCAACACUUGGAAAUUAUUUUAGUUAAGGGUCUAGCUCAUAAAUGACGUAGUUUCC
Molecule: long non-coding RNA, 2946 nt
Filed under: Citrus maxima (pomelo)
Lineage: Eukaryota; Viridiplantae; Streptophyta; Magnoliopsida; Sapindales; Rutaceae
Description: long non-coding RNA (CMAX_LNC000764)
Source: RNAcentral